UGUGAUGUCGACGUUUAAUAACGCUAAGCAUGCCAAAGAAACAUUCACAAGAGGUGAGUAUAAAGAUAGCAGAUAUGGCGCAUUUAUGGACAGCAUCUACAAAGCGGAACACUAAAUGACCUUAUUGAAUCCAGAAAAAACCGACCUUAUUUCUGCCGAAGAGCAGCAAGAGUAUUUGCAGAAAUCUGCAGGUCGUUUAAAGAAAAUAGAAGGUUCAGAAGCACAAGACCGCUAAUAAGUACGGCGCGGAAAAUCUGGUAAUUGCGGAAGAUGUUGAAAAACUUAGUAGAAAUGUACAUUCGACACUGCCGCCCAGCUUCAACAUCCAGCCGCCUCCUGUUCGUCAAUUGAACUGGGAAACCAGUUUGAUGUGCACAGGAGAUGUCCAGGCACUGGGCAGCGGUUACCGGUAAUUGCCACGCCGUAAACCCCACCAGUUUAAGAAAGGUGGCAGGUACAUACUCAUGGGGAAAUUGCGAAAACAGAGAGAAAGUUUUAGUGGCAGAACAUAUGGCACACCACUUGGCCACACAAGAAAGUUAUUAUAAAGCGGUGCAAACUACAAAAAAUACUGUCAGAGCCCAUGAACUGAUAGAGGCGAUUGGGAAAAAGAAAUUCAGAAGAUAAAAUUUCAAAUUGUUACUAUAUUUACGUAUUAUCUGCAUCAUAAUAUAUUUUUCAGUCAAUGAUGUUUAUAAUCAUGAUGUGAUUAAAUAAACCAGGUAAAUAUGACAGAAAUGUAAAUUUAAGCAAGUCAAUUCCUGGAAGCGUGGUUGCCGUUUACUGUUCAUUUGUUUACACAAACACAAAAUACUGUAUUUCGAACCAGUCAACAAAACUCAGAGAACACUUGGUGCACCCGAAAGACAAGAUCACAAAAGAAAACACACUGUGGAGCCAUAUACAAAAUUGGUUGCCGGAAUUGUGACUCUGUUUACAUUGGGAAACGGGUAGACCCUUAAAGAAACAUCUGGAGGAACACAUGAAAGAUGUUGAUAAUGAUAAUAACGCAAAAAGAGUGCGGAUGCGCUUUUUAGUAGUCUUCAAAAAAAUGUCAAUUUUUUCAAGGUCCUCUUUCAGACAGUUCAUCGGUUUAGGAGGCAGUAUUUGAUUCCAUCACCAAAGGGUUAGCCUGCACAGAGCUGGGAACUGUCAUUUAUGCAUAUAGGCGUAUCAGUAGCCGACGGACGUACAUAUACUUGUUGACGUUAGAUUAGUCAAGUCUGGGUAGCUAGCCUCAAUAUGCUGCUUACCUUGCUUAAUUUGCUAUAUUUUCUUCCAUUGAAAGCUGAAUAUUUCAACUAUGCUUUUCUUUGAAUUAUGCUUUCAAUUAGUUCAUUUGAUUGGUUGUUCAGUCACUCACACUAUCAUUGGUAAACACAUGAUGUUUAUCAUACUGCCAUACAUGAUGUAUCAUACAUGAUACAUGAUGUUUAUCAUACUGCCUGCGCAGUAGCUAAGCGGUUUAAUAAUUAUCACAUGUUUCCUACAGUUCAGUUCUUUAAAAAACUACAGUAUGAUGAAAUUAUUGACUUUUCAAAUUUUUCAGAAGACCUACAUAUAUCUGAUCUGAACCCACUUUAAUUCUACAUUUUUGAUGUCUAAGUUUACAUUUAAUAUGUACAUUAACUUUAAUGCACCUUGGCGAUAUACUGUGCAUCUUUGGGCGUUUUCACUUUCUUAUCAGGCAAUCAGUCACAGUCCCCACCCCUUUGGUUGUUCAUUUGUUUAUUGUUUAUUUGCUGGGUGGGGUUGGAUGCACGGUGGGGUUGGGUCAGUGGUUGGAUGCACAGUGGGGUGUUUUUCGCAUUUUUCGGCACCCUCCUUUGUUUAAAAACAAAUAAUUGUUUAGGAGAACGUGUUAGCAGCGGCCAGUACUCAAACAAAAAAAAAACACAUAAAACAAGGAGGAGGAGUAGUGCCCCCAAGCAGGACCAGCAUGUGAUAUCACCAGGUCAGCCCGUGUAAGGGGAAAUAAUUUGAAUUACCAUUUAAAAUUAGAUUUAAUGCUGUUUUACAAUUUGAGAUUAGGCCUAUAUAUUUGAGAGAAUGCCUUGCAUUCCAUAAUUGCUUUGAAACCAAGGCCAGUGCUUAUAAUUCGCUUAAUUGUUUUUAACUGCUUUGGCUUUCCUAGAAUUCAAUUUUAAAAUAUUUUCGUAUGGGCAAUGAACACUAAUGAUUGUAAUCUUAAGCUGUGUCCAGACAAUCACAGGCCAAACUAAAUUUUAUUUUUAUUUUAGGCCUGAAACAAGCCUUGAGCUAUACUAUGUCAGACCUGCCAACUCACCCGAUCCUGUUGGGUGUCACCCGAUAUUUAAACAAAUCUCCAUUUCACCUGAUCGAAAGUAAUUUUCACCCGAUUUCACAGGCCACCCCCUCCCCAAAAAUACUCCGAUUUAUGCAUAAUUUGAUUGAUUUGAUCAUUAUUAUUCAAUAUAUUUGCCACCUGCUCACUUCGCGGUGCAAUAAACAGCCAUUUCCAAUUCGAAUGUAGCAACCCGUGGCCAAUGAUUUGUAGUGACGUGACUUUUUUGGUAUCUUGCAUCAUCUUUUGGUUAAUUAUGGAAACCUCCAGAUUUUUUGGUAAAUCUCCAGAUUUUUUUAAGAUUCUUAAAAAAAUCUCCAGAUUUUCAUGACCCAAGGGUUGGCAGGUGCUAUGUGUGCAUGCUUAUUAAGGUAAGUGUACAGGUUUUGAUGAGAGUAAGAAAACUCUAAAAAAAUUUUUUUUUUUUAAUUACAUUGCAAACUGUCCAGAAAAAGAAAUGAUAAGGAUAUUUAUAAAGGGGAAGACAUGAGUUUGCAAGUCAAAUAAUUUGAAUUGAAUGAUGACAUUUAAUAAUCCAAGCUGGCUUUCUAUCAGUUCCUAGCCUUUAGGGCAAAACCAUUACCAACCAUUUGAAGUGUUUCUCUCCAAGAAAACAGUCUACUUUUAGAAUUUAAAGGUCGAAUGAGUUUGUGGCA
RNAcentral lists this unclassified non-coding RNA (2961 nucleotides) under Anneissia japonica. Its description in RNAcentral is "uncharacterized LOC117122961, transcript variant X1". The record is from RNAcentral. Lineage: Eukaryota; Metazoa; Echinodermata; Crinoidea; Comatulida; Comatulidae.